AGCAGAGCAUGCUCACAUAUUUAAAAUACAUACAGAAAUACUCAACAAAUUUGUGUUUUAUUGAUUUAUUUAGAGUCGGUGUCUAUUGAUUUUUCGACUGGCCUCUACCGGAAGAAUUUAACUCAAGUAGGACAGCCAAUUAAGUUAGUCAACUUGCAUCGCAAAACAUGUUUCCCGAAUCCCCUCGAGGGCGUGAUUUGUCAGCACAUCGCACACGAAUUCACAGCUUUUGCCCGUGAGCACAUGUAAGAAGAGGAGUGGGACUUUGUUCAGCGUGACUGGUGAGGAGAUGAACCGCUGUUUCUGCUGUUCCACGCCGAGCAGACUCUGCUUGGCCACCUUGAAUGCUUUCCUGCCUCCAUGAUCCAGAAAGCACCUGUCCUGGGACCACCAGUACAGCUCCACUGGAGAACAGGGGGAAUUCCGCAUAUGCACAUGCUCAUCGCGCCACAAAACGGAUCCGAUAACGGAUAGCCGGCCACUAUUACAGGUGCCAUUUCCACUCACUGCAAAGGAAUCCAGUGGCGGACCUCAUACAAAUGCAGUCAAAAGGCCAGACAGAGUCAACGCUGGCGCCGCACUGCGAAGAGAUCACAGGCUCGGACGGUCGACUCAUGCUACGGUCAUUUCCCCUCAGCUAACAGGAAUGCAAGGGUGUGUAACUCAAGUGUGUGCGACACGCUCCUCUUCGGUCCCAUCGCUGACCCUUCACCCAGUUCAGCAUCCCAUCUUUCCUUCGCAAACAAGUGAGUCACAUGAUCCUUCGCUUUCACUCGAACUUGUCGAUCACUACCCCCAUCCUCCAGCAGCUCUCUCUGCCAAAACCGGCCGCUUCCUUCUGCAGUUUAGUGCACUCGCAUUCUCUGACAGUCUUUUAUCUCUCGGGAUCUCCUAUGGAAAUAUGCGUAGCUGGUGAUUGAAACCAUUUUGUAGUCACUGUUAUCUUUACUCCUGUCUGGACAUAAAAGGACACUUCUUCCCUGUGUCCAAUAAUACUGACAUUCAUUUUAUCACUGGAGGUCAACGGUUAAGUGCUGGUCGCCAGAAUGUGUUUCCGUCAUCCCUAAUGUUGUCGGUGUAAAUUACGUCUUACAAAAAAUCUGAUUACGAAUCAUCUCUGCAGAUAAAAAUAAGCUGUUUUGACAGAAUCUAAUUCAUUGCAAAAUAUUUACAUUCUGUCAUCAAGAUGCAUCAUGGACCAUUUCAUAAGAUGUUUGCAUAUUGUAUGGUAUUUUAUAAACAUGAUGACAAAAAUUCGUACACAAAAAAGUCAUCAUUUAUUUAACCUCUGUGGAAGGUUAAACCACCACCAACUCGUAUUGAAAAUCAACCCUUUGUGAUCCAUUUUCAUGGCCUCUCAGCCGUAAACUGUGGCUUAAAAGAGAGGAAGGCGUUUCCUUUUCAUAACUUGUACAAUCACGCAAACACCUGCCCACACACCAACAAACACACAUUCCUCACGUUCCCCUGGUCAGAUAAACAAGGACUCUGCUGCACACACACAUGUAAAGGGGAGCAUUUAUCAUUACAGUUGGCAGAAGUUCUGUUUGGAUUACACACCUAGACAAACUACAUAGUGACCCCUGACCCCAUAGAUCACUCUCAGUGCUGUUUACUAAGGCAAGCAUCAUUAUUACUAUUGGAAUUUAGUCAAAUCCUUUGUGCUUUAUACAUGAAUGUUUGAUAUAAAUGUCAAGGGUGUGCCCUUUUAAGGGUGAUACCCUUAAGACAUCAACCUAGCAACCACAUAGUAAUGCCCGAGCAAGAAUUUAUAAGUUGCAUUUGGUUCUUUGUUGCAAUGAUUAACCAAUUAAAGGAGUAGUUCUCUUUCCAUAGUAGGAAUACAAAUUACUAUGGAAGUGAACAGGGGACAAAUGUAUAGAAUUUGAUAAAUCUGUAGUAUUUAAUUCCCUGCACAAAUUCCACACAAUUCUAUAUAUUAGUCAUUUUAAAGUCAAACACGUAUGAGCCACAGCAAUAGUG
Triplophysa dalaica is the source of this 1983-nucleotide long non-coding RNA. RefSeq lists it as uncharacterized. The record is from RefSeq and is a predicted model, not a curated record. NCBI's taxonomy places the organism in Eukaryota, Metazoa, Chordata, Actinopteri, Cypriniformes, Nemacheilidae. The transcript is spliced from 5 exons.